RNAcentral lists this unclassified non-coding RNA (488 nucleotides) under Drosophila yakuba. RNAcentral describes it as "GE27788". The record is from RNAcentral. Lineage: Eukaryota; Metazoa; Arthropoda; Insecta; Diptera; Drosophilidae.
CGGAAAAUAUCCUGCCCGGUUGCCUGUUUAAUAUGAUAGUUAAAGAAAUUACUACGUUUAGUUUCGCAUCCACCAUUCAUGGACAGUAUACUGAGACUCCAUUUAAUACCCAACAUUUACAAAAAUGCUGUAAUUGUAAAACUAAAUUGUGUUGCGAUACUAAUGAAGAAAAAUUAUUACACAAGGUUAUACGUCUGGAAAGUGAUAUCAAAAAUGCGAAGACGUGUCUUAAAAAUCUUAAAAGUAUUCCAUCUCAUCUCUCCAUUCCGAGGUGUCGGUUUAGUUUAGAGUCUUUAUCAGAUAAAAAACUGGAAGAAACACGGUAACAGCAGUCAAACAUUUAAUAUAUUCUGUAAAUUUGUAAUCCGAGUCUUUUAAUCAUGUCCAUUUCUGGUUUAUGACAAAUUUUUAUAUAAGUGAAGGUGUAUAAUAUUCUAUAAUAUUAUUAUCUGCUUACAUUAGUAAUGCGUUUAACCAAAAUAACAUAA